ACUGUUGAAACCUAACAUAAAAAUAUCAUUAACACGGUUGAAACCUAACAUAAAAAUACCAUAACCAAAAUCAUCAAUUGAAAAUGGCAAAUCUAACUUGAUCCCAUUAUCGAACCGCUCACUUUCAUUAGAGAACAAAUAAAAUGAGCAAUCACGAUAUUGUUCAGGUGGCGCAGGCGGAUCAACAUUAUUGAGUAGGAGAAAGGUAUCGUCGGAAUCAAAAUCGUUAUUAUUGGAUAAGAAAUAGUUGCAGAACAUUUUCAUGAAAUUAUGGUUUUCAAAUAAAAUUGACCAUGAUUUGUUUAUGCAUAUUCAAAACGCUUCAUAGAUUUGAGAGGUAGUUUUGAUAGAAUGAAG
This 357-nucleotide long non-coding RNA is filed under the name Cicer arietinum (chickpea). RNAcentral describes it as "long non-coding RNA (CARI_LNC003561)". The record is from RNAcentral. Lineage: Eukaryota; Viridiplantae; Streptophyta; Magnoliopsida; Fabales; Fabaceae.